Molecule: long non-coding RNA, 145 nt
Organism: Lynx canadensis (Canada lynx)
Lineage: Eukaryota; Metazoa; Chordata; Mammalia; Carnivora; Felidae
Exons: 2
Source: RefSeq, a predicted model, not a curated record
CCUUCUUCUAAUCAUGUUGAAACAUCAGACCAAUUCAAACUAAGGGACCUUCCACAAAAUGAAUUGCCCAUGUUCUUCAAAAAAUGUCAAGGUCAAGAAAUACAAAGAAAAGCUGAGGAACUGAACUGUUCCAGAUGAAAAGAAA